AGCGGCGCACGGGUGAGUAACGCGUAUCCAACCUUCCCCUUAGUAGGGCAUAGCCCGGCGAAAGUCGGAUUAAUACCCUAUGUUUUCCAAUGAGGACAUCUGAGCUGGAACAAAGAUUUAUCGCUAAGGGAUGGGGAUGCGUCUGAUUAGGUAAUCGGCGGGGUAACGGCCCACCGAGCCAACGAUCAGUAGGGGUUCUGAGAGGAAGGUCCCCCACAUUGGUACUGAGACACGGACCAAACUCCUACGGGAGGCAGCAGUGAGGAAUAUUGGUCAAUGGACGAGAGUCUGAACCAGCCAAGUAGCGUGCAGGAUGACGGCCCUAUGGGUUGUAGACUGCUUUUGCAGGGGAAUAAAGUGAGGCACGUGUGCCUUUUUGUAUGUACCCUGAGAAUAAGGACCGGCUAAUUCCGUGCCAGCAGCCGCGGUAAUACGGAAGGUCCGGGCGUUAUCCGGAUUUAUUGGGUUUAAAGGGAGCGCAGGCCGAAGAUUAAGCGUGACGUGAAAUGCCGCGGCUCAACCGUGGAAGUGCGUCGCGAACUGGUUUUCUUGAGUGUGCAC
RNAcentral lists this ribosomal RNA (561 nucleotides) under uncultured bacterium. Its description in RNAcentral is "bacterial SSU rRNA". It matches the Rfam family "Bacterial small subunit ribosomal RNA", at positions 94 to 653 of the family's 1533-position model. The record is from RNAcentral.